CAAACUUAAGGUGAUGGGGUUCCGCCUAAAACCGCUUUUCUUGAAAGCUGAUGACUCCUACUUCAAC
Molecule: non-coding RNA, 67 nt
Filed under: Indibacter alkaliphilus
Lineage: Bacteria; Pseudomonadati; Bacteroidota; Cytophagia; Cytophagales; Cyclobacteriaceae
Also listed under: 1 other name
Description: Fluoride sequence
Rfam family: Fluoride riboswitch aptamer (crcB RNA motif)
Source: RNAcentral